RNAcentral lists this ribosomal RNA (449 nucleotides) under uncultured bacterium. RNAcentral describes it as "bacterial SSU rRNA". It matches the Rfam family "Bacterial small subunit ribosomal RNA", at positions 355 to 796 of the family's 1533-position model. The record is from RNAcentral.
UGGGGAAUAUUGCGCAAUGGGCGAAAGCCUGACGCAGCGACGCCGCGUGGGUGAUGAAGGCCUUCGGGUCGUAAAGCCCUGUCGGGGGGAAGAAACUCCCCGGACCUAAUACGUCCGGGAAUUGACGGUACCUCCUAAGGAAGCACCGGCUAACUACGUGCCAGCAGCCGCGGUAAUACGUAGGGACCAAGCGUUGUUCGGAUUUACUGGGCGUAAAGGGCGCGUAGGCGGCAAUUCAAGUCAUCUGUGAAAUCUCCGGGCUUAACUCGGAACGGUCAGAUGAUACUGCUUUGCUAGAGUGCAGAAGGGGCAAUCGGAAUUCUUGGUGUAGCGGUGAAAUGCGUAGAUAUCAAGAGGAACACCUGAGGUGAAGACGGGUUGCUGGGCUGACACUGACGCUGAGGCGCGAAAGCCAGGGGAGCAAACGGGAUUAGAUACCCCGGUAGUCC